AAAAUAAACACAGCAAAACUACAUGAAAACCCUUAUGGAAAUACAGGAGAAGCCUUGUAUAUCUACAUCUUGACAAUAGCUGCAGCAAAUAUGGGCUGAAUCAGUUAAAGCAUAUUUGUUUCACAAAGGUUUUAGUAGGCAGUGUGACAGGCGUGCUGUUUUCCAUUCUAGGACUCAUUCUGCACAUGAAAAACCCUUUGGUAUUAUGAGUUACCCUGUGUUUCAUCAACAUGUAUUAUUGUGCACAGCAUAAAUCAAUACAACAAAGAGAAAUGUCAGAAAUAGUGACUCAUAUCUGUUUAAGAAACUUCUAGAAAGAUCUGUUCACUCCACUGCAUUGUCAUGGUGAUAAACAUUUAGAGGGGAGAAAAAAAUCUCGCUGUAGAAUGUUACAUUGUUAAUUGGUCACAGCUGCAGCUCGUGAGAGUUUUGUCAGCUCCAUUGCAUGCCGAUUACAAAACUAACACAGCUGGAAGAGAUAUACUCUGUAUCUUGUUUAAAAGGUAGGACUCUCUCAUUUUUAAAACUACCAACCUUGGGGGGUGGAGUUAAGCAUGUCUGCACAGAAAAGCAAUUUUCUGAGAGAGUCAGCAAUGUUUGAUGGACAGUCAAAUGUUUUUUUGUGUGAUUAAAAUGCUGUAAAACCGAAAGUAUUUUUGAAAAAAGUUAGGGGCUGGGUUUAUAAACAUUAAAGCCUCCUCUUUUUAGGAAAGAAAAAACUUGACCAUUUCUGGCCUGCCUUUAAAGCCUGAUAAAAUAGGUGUAGCUCUGCCUAACCCGAGACCAGGCCAGACGGGUUUAAGAUGUUAAAGGCUGGUAUCCUGCAGGUUUUGGAUGCUUUCCUGCUUCAAUACACCUGAAUCAAACAGGUGGGUCAUUAGCAGGCUUCUACAGAGCCUGAUGCAAUGUUAAGGAGCAUAUUCAAGGAUUUGAAUCAGGAAUUCUGGAGCAGAGACAUAUCUAAAAGAUGCGGAAAACCAACCCUGGAGGACCAGAGUCUGACACCAGCACCAAUUGAGAGGGAUUUCUUCCAGGAUUACCCUGCUCCAUAUUUCUACAAACCCUGAUGACUAUCCCUAAUGGGGACUUUCUCCUUUAAGUUUUUCCUGCUGAAGAGCAGAAUCCACGGUUCCAUCAAU
Molecule: long non-coding RNA, 1139 nt
Organism: Fundulus heteroclitus (mummichog)
Lineage: Eukaryota; Metazoa; Chordata; Actinopteri; Cyprinodontiformes; Fundulidae
Exons: 3
Source: RefSeq, a predicted model, not a curated record